Daphnia magna is the source of this 589-nucleotide long non-coding RNA. RefSeq lists it as uncharacterized. NCBI's taxonomy places the organism in Eukaryota, Metazoa, Arthropoda, Branchiopoda, Diplostraca, Daphniidae. The transcript has 2 exons. The record is from RefSeq and is a predicted model, not a curated record.
UCAAUAGUAUAUUCAGCAUUCUAGCCCAGUAGUGUACGGAGGUUUUGUUCCCCAGUUCAGUCAUAUCUUUCAUCCCUUUCAUGACAGGGACUCUUACGUUCUCGUUAUACAGAGAAGUCAAUGGAUUUGUGGUUAAAAGAGCCUUGUCCUAGUUCGACAAGAGGAUCGAUGGAGCGUUCUUCCUAGCCGACCAGAAAAACGAAUCAUCCAGUUAUACGGGGGAGGGGAAAAUUAUUCUAUUCGUGUCGUACCAAAGUUGAAAACCCAGUAAAACUCUUCUCUCGUGAAAGGAACAAAAGUUAUAUCUGGCAAAUCUCGAUUCGUCACCAUUUAUGGGUAACACGGACAUGGUCCGACAUGACAUCACGCUCAUAUCUCUUUGGAUUCCCGUCAACCACAACUUCUUGUCGACUCCCACUUUUUUUGUAUUCAUAUUUCGCUUCUGGCUCGCCCUCCGCUUUCCCAAACGAAGAAGAGGAAAGCAAGCAACUCAAGUGACAGCUACGGUGGAGGCUCAGUUACUCAUCCCUAAUGUAAUGUGCACAGACAAAAAAAAAAAAAAACUGGGUAAAUCAAAACAUAUAACAUA